GAUUAUGGCUCAGGAUGAACGCUAGCUACAGGCUUAACACAUGCAAGUCGAGGGGCAGCAUGUGGUUGCUUGCAACCAAUGAUGGCGACCGGCGCACGGGUGAGUAACGCGUAUCCAACCUUCCCUAUAGUAGAGGAUAGCCCGGCGAAAGUCGGAUUAAUACUCUAUGUUUUCCAAUGCAGACAUCUAAAAUGGAACAAAGGUUUACCGCUAUAGGAUGGGGAUGCGUCUGAUUAGAUAGUCGGCGGGGUAACGGCCCACCGAGUCGACGAUCAGUAGGGUUCUGAGAGGAAGGUCCCCCACAUUGGAACUGAGACACGGUCCAAACUCCUACGGGAGGCAGCAGUGAGGAAUAUUGGUCAAUGGGCGAGAGCCUGAACCAGCCAAGUAGCGUGCAGGAUGACGGCCCUAUGGGUUGUAAACUGCUUUUAUACAGGGAUAAAGUGACGUACGUGUACGUUAUUGUAGGUACUGUAUGAAUAAGGACCGGCUAAUUCCGUGCCAGCCGCAGC
Molecule: ribosomal RNA, 512 nt
Filed under: uncultured bacterium
Lineage: Bacteria
Description: bacterial SSU rRNA
Rfam family: Bacterial small subunit ribosomal RNA
Source: RNAcentral